GACUUCUCCAGCAAUGUUCAGCACCUUGGUCCUCAGAAGGCUGGCAGUCUCCAGGCUAGAUAUGGAGCUGGGGAUGGGAGACUCAAAGAACAGCCUUCUUUGAGUAACCUAACCAGUCAAAGAGAAAAGACACAGAGAUACUGAUGUUGCUGAUUGUGACCCUUCUGCCAUGAAGCCCCCAGCCCCACUCAUGCUCUUUCAAGUCUCUGGUUGGCUUUUUAAUAUCCUUCUCUUAAAUACAUGCUGACAGCCCAAGAUUGGCAGAUACUUGAAGAAAGACUCUACCUAAAUGAUGCAGACCAAAACUAAUCAACAGUGAAACAGGGAAUUUGUAGAAAAC
RNAcentral lists this long non-coding RNA (340 nucleotides) under Homo sapiens (human). RNAcentral's name for it is "HSALNT0292975". The record is from RNAcentral. Lineage: Eukaryota; Metazoa; Chordata; Mammalia; Primates; Hominidae.